UUUCCGUAGGUGAACCUGCGGAAGGAUCAUUAAUAAAUGGUCUACGUUUUUUGAGUAGACCUUAAUAAUCCUACCCUUUGUGAAUUUGUUGUUUGAAAUAAUUUUUUUUAAAAUUAUUGAUUGUCUUUCCUGUUGAAUGGUGUUUUCGAAUGCAAAUAUCGCAGGGAGUGUCAGUAAUUUUUAAAAAGACCUUUUUUAAAUUAAACUUUUUGUAUUCAUUGUCUAAAAUUAUUUUUAUAAUAUAAAAACAACUUUUGACAAUGGAUCUCUUGUUCUCGCAACGAUGAAGAACGCAGCAAAAUGCGAUAAGUAGUGUGAAUUACAGAAUACGUGAAUCAUCGAAUCUUCGAACGCAUAUUGCACUUUUUUAGUUUACUAAAAAAGUAUGUCUGUUUGAGUAUCAGUAAAAUAUUCUCAUAAAAAACAUUGUUUUUUAUGGUUAUGAGUGUUUUACAACGAUACAAGUUGUUUCACUUUAAAUUUUUUUAAAAUUUGAAUUUUUCUAAUUUUAAAAUAAAAUUGGAUAAAUUUUCCCGUAAAAAGGAAUAACCUAAACAAUUUUAAAUUUUUGAUUAGAAUUCUUCACAUUCUAAAGGAAAAUUUAACUAAAUAACUUGAUCUCAAAUCAGAUAAGAGUACCCGCUGAACUUAAGCAUAUCGAUAGCGGAGGAAAAGAAACUAACAAGGAUUCCCUUAGUAACGGCGAGUGAAGCGGGAAGAGCUCAAAUUUGAAAUCUUCAAGGUUUUACCUUGACGAAUUGUAGUUUAAAGAAGUGUUUUCUGUUGAAGUUUUGGUAAAAGUUCUUUGGAAUAGGACAUCAUAGAGGGUGAGAAUCCGUAUUUGACCAUUAUUUUCAGCUGUGUGAUACACUUUCAAAGAGUCGGAUUGUUUGGGAAUGCAGUCCAAAAUGGUGGUAAAUUUCAUCUAAAGCUAAAUAUUGGCGAGAGACCGAUAGCGAACAAGUACCGUGAGGGAAAGAUGAAAAGAACUUUGAAAAGAGAGUUAAACAGUACGUGAAAUUGUCAAAAGGGAAGCGUUUGACACCAGUGUUGUUUUCUCGAAAAUCAAUUAAAAAAAGUUGGAUUUUGUGUUGUAUUGACCUUAACAGCUUGCUUCACUCUUUUCCUGCUUUUUUUAAUGCACUUUUCGUUUAACAAGUCAACAUCAGUUUCUUUUGUUGUAAAAGGGUCAUUGGAAGGUGGCUUUCUCUUCGGAGAAAGUGUUUAUAGCCUUUGAUCUCUGCAAUCGGAGAGACUGAGGUCUGCAGCGUAGAUCCUUCGGGUUAGAUACAUUUGUGCUAAGCUACAGCUUUUCAUAGACAACUUGUUGACUAUGUUUAGUCUUGUAACUUACCCGCUUAUGCUAUUUUACCUACGCUUAGGAUGUUG
RNAcentral lists this unclassified non-coding RNA (1389 nucleotides) under uncultured Neocallimastigales. RNAcentral describes it as "partial contains small subunit ribosomal RNA, internal transcribed spacer 1, 5.8S ribosomal RNA, internal transcribed spacer 2, and large subunit ribosomal RNA". The stretch from base 616 to 1389 matches the Rfam family "Eukaryotic large subunit ribosomal RNA", at positions 1 to 628 of the family's 3401-position model. Lineage: Eukaryota; Fungi; Neocallimastigomycota; Neocallimastigomycetes; Neocallimastigales. The record is from RNAcentral.